RNAcentral lists this ribosomal RNA (404 nucleotides) under Verrucomicrobiota bacterium. RNAcentral's name for it is "Verrucomicrobia bacterium partial 16S ribosomal RNA". It matches the Rfam family "Bacterial small subunit ribosomal RNA", at positions 355 to 776 of the family's 1533-position model. The record is from RNAcentral. Lineage: Bacteria; Pseudomonadati; Verrucomicrobiota.
UGGGGAAUAUUGCACAAUGGGGGAAACCCUGAUGCAGCGACGCCGCGUGAGCGAUGAAGGCUUUCGAGUCGUAAAGCUCUGUCCUAUGGGAAGAUAAUGACGGUACCAUAGAAGAAAGCCCCGGCUAAUUACGUGCCAGCAGCCGCGGUAAUACGUAAGGGGCGAGCGUUGUCCGGAAUUAUUGGGCGUAAAGAGUGCGUAGGCGGCAAAUUAAGUCAGAUGUGAAAACUAAGGGCUCAACCCAUAGAUUGCAUCUGAAACUGAUAUGCUGGAGUCAAGGAGAGGAAAGUGGAAUUCCUAGUGUAGCGGUGGAAUGCGUAGAUAUUAGGAGGAAUACCGGUGGCGAAGGCGACUUGCUGAGCACAAUCUGACGCUAAGGAACGAAAGCGUGGGGAGCAAACAGG